AUCACCUCUGGGCCUUUUGGCUAAGAUCAAGUGUAGUAUCUGUUCUUAUCAGUUUAAUAUCUGACACAUCCUCUAUCUGAGGACAUUAUAUUAAGUGUAUUUUUGGAAUAGGGAGAUGGACCAGGAGCUUGCUGUGUCCACUCCACCCAUCGACCUGGUAUUGCAAUACCUCCGGGAACAGUGCACCAAAA
Molecule: small nuclear RNA, 191 nt
Organism: Myotis myotis
Lineage: Eukaryota; Metazoa; Chordata; Mammalia; Chiroptera; Vespertilionidae
Product: U2 spliceosomal RNA
Exons: 1
Source: RefSeq, a predicted model, not a curated record